Molecule: long non-coding RNA, 972 nt
Organism: Cygnus olor (mute swan)
Lineage: Eukaryota; Metazoa; Chordata; Aves; Anseriformes; Anatidae
Exons: 2
Source: RefSeq, a predicted model, not a curated record
GGGGCGGGGGUCCCGGGCCUGGUCCCUGCUCGUGCUCCGUGCCACCCGGCCCGGCCGCGGCACCGCCCCGCGGCGCCCGGGCCCAGGUCCUAUGGCUUCCUUCGCUUUCCCCGUAGUUGGGAGAAGCCGAUAGGGUGUGGGGAAAAAAAAAGAAAAAAGAAAAAAAAAGGACAUAUAAAAUCAAGGUAAUUUUCAAUAAUCUUCAUGCUAUUUAUUUUGCAGUAUUUCUGCACUGGCUAUUCUACUCAUGAUAAAAUGUGUAAAAAUAAACUGUCUUCUUUCUGCAGUUUACCAGAAGUGUAGCUUCAAUGAAUAUAUUUGUGAAGUGUCCACAGAACUUACAUACUUGCUAUGACUUUGUGCCCUGCUGCUUACAGCCAGGCUGUGUCACGUUUUCUCAAAAAGUUACUGGUUUUAUCAAUUUCAAAUGGAUAGGACACAUGCUAUAGAAAAUAUAGGCAUCAGAUCCUGUUCUCCAGAAACUUUCUCAGCCUACAUAAAUUGCUAAUAAUAUACAGCAGAAAUACUGAAGUCCUGCAAAUAUGCACACGUUUUGCUCCCAUCAGGUUACAAAGCUAUGCCAGACUUGGUAGUAUGUGCCAUCUCAUCAACAAAACUCAGCUUUCUGAUUCAGUCUUUCAUUUGUUACAAACCUUACUUCAUAUGUUGAUCUUACAUAUACAAACGAUCACUGGAGAGACCACAGACAAGUUCUCUUAUGAUAUACAGAAUUCCAGACAGAAAGAAGCAAAUUGGCAAGAAGUUCCCAGCUACAUGCACAGCACAGGGCAGCAGAGAUGGCAGUUACCGCUCUAUACCCUAGGAAUCAAAGCACAGAAAAUCUCAGGGGAGGCUGCAAGAUUGCACAAGAGUCAGUAACACAAUAGGAGAGGAUCAAGACGAGCACUUUUUGAAAUGUGUAAGUUUUUGGAAAGCCUGUUUAAAUUCUUCAUUAAAAGCUGUAUAAAUGAC